GGUGGGGAAUGCUCAGUUCGUCCGAGAAGAGCGUAUCGCUUCCUCGGGUGUUUAAACGUGAUCUUUACUAGUUUUAUAAUAGUACUCAUAAUAAUAGUAUUUUAUAUUUAAAGUAAUAAUAAUCACCAUCAUAAAAAACAUAAUAAUAAUUUCUAACUCGUUUGGCUUGGUCAUAACACUUGAAUUGAUUAUUUUAAUUACGUUCUUGUAUUACAUUAUUUAUUUAAUUAUGAAUAUACUGAAAAGAAGACAUGAAAUGGUGAGAAAAAAUACCCGGCAUCUACCCUUUUAUUUCUAUACAUACCGGUCAACGUACACACACACACAUACACACACACAAACAUAUAUUUAUACACACCUAGACAGCGGCACAUGAAGAUGGAUUUUCCGAGCGUGUAGUAAGGAAAAUCGAAGAGGAAGAGUGAGAAAAGAAUACCGUGACGAGAAAAUAAUAUUUCAAGAAAGUCAUAACUAAAUAAAAGGAAUGGAAGGGCAUGGACAAAGUGAACUGGACUAUCAUGAUCAUUAAUGUUAACCACAUUUCGUGUUCUAUCAACAACCACAUUUUGGAUGCUACCAACAAUCUACCGUAGUUCAUUUGAGUUCAUAUAAUAUAAAUAGUGAAAUAAACCACAAUUACCUAGGCUAAAUACGAUAACAAAUUCAGUUAAAGUAUAUAUGCGACAAUUCAUAUACAUCUAUUAUACGAGCACGAAUAUGUGUUAUUAUACUGACGGAUGAAUUCAGUAACAAAAGUUUGAACAUUUAAAAGUUUUUAGAACUAUCUAAAACUCAUAAGUAAGGAAAACAUUUAAAAGAAAGGAAAAAUAAUUUCCAGUAAUAAAUAAUGCUAAUAAAUUUCACGAUUCCAUUUCCCGUUUUAUUCUACAAGAGUGUGAGAAUAAAAAAGCAAAAACCAAUAAAAGUCCACAGUUUUCUCUCCGAUUAGCAAGUCAUAAUUUCUCCCUUUUUUAUCUCAUUCGCGUCGAAUUUUAGCACUUGCAAACAGUAAAUAGAAAAGGAAAUUGAUAAAAAGAAAACUACUGUCGUACCCGAAUUUUAUUACAUCUUCGCUUAAUUUAAUGUGUCAUUACUAAAUUCCUUAGCUGGGGAUAAAAAAAACUCCGACAUUGCUUACGAUCUUCUACUUUGCUCAGACGAAACUUUUAUACCGCUGAAUUUAUUGUUUUGCUGUCGCAAUAAUAAAAUUUUAAUUUACGUCGAGAAAAUGAUUAAGUAAAAACCCAAAAACUGCAUCAAUUUCAAUAAUUUAAAACAUCAAUUAUAAUUCUCGAUAUAGAACAAAUUUCUUCGAGUUUUUAUGGCUUGAUGUGAUAUUUCAAAUAUAUUUUUUUUAACAUUGAAAUAUCUUAUCAGAUUUUCUCUUCAAGAUUUACCAAAAUACGCAUCUUACUUUUAAAAAAUCUGACACAUUUUUAAACUGAUUUAAAAUGUUGAGAUAAAAUAAGAUAACCGAUAUGUUAAAUAUACUUAUAAUCAAAUUUGACGUUUAUUUUGAUGUUAAAAACGCCCUAAAAAUUUAAUAUUCAAAAAGAAAUUUUGAAAAUCAAAAAUUACCCACUUAUCUUAGAACGAUAAAAUUGUUGAUUGAUUUUUUAGUGGAAGAUAAUGCUGUUAAACGAUUUCUUCUGAGAACCAUAUUUCAUCUCCAACACGGCAUGUAGAGAUUUUACGAAAAAAAUUAACAAAAAUUGCAUGACUCUUCACCCUCUAACUCCGACUUCUUUCUUCUUUUAUAUUCUUAAUACACAAGUUUUUUUGUUCCCUUAUAUCUCGAUCACCUAAAAAAUAAUUUAUAAAAAUUAAAGCCUAAAUCUCAUUGCGUGCACAAGUCUCUUUAUUGCGUGACCUUGGCGUGUUUGCCUUUGAAAACUUCCGGAAUUACAUGACUGGGCCUAACUAUAUUAGACCAAUGUGAGUACGUGUAUUUUAAUACUUCAUUCCACGCCACUGUUCUUGGCAUAUGCAAUACACAUUAUAUAUUUAUAUAUAUAGAUAUUGGCAGCAAAACUAUUAUAUCUGCAAACAUAAAAUGUGUGAAUGUGUUAGUACAUUACAGUAGUUUUAUUUAACAAACUAAACUAAAAUGAGUAAAGUAUACAUACAAUAUAUACGAUAGGAUUGUAGAAUGUAAAAUACAAUUAUUGCACAGAGUAGGUAGUAGUGAACGAGAUGGGAGAUUAAAAAGACAGAGAUGAAAAUGACGGUCUGGAAGAUGGCGCCGUCAUCUGAAGUGCGUGCAGCUGCCUCGUUUCUAAACCCCAAAAACACGAUACGAUAGUAAUACACCAGCAGCAGACUCUUAAACAACUGUGCGGGCUGAGCUUAGUUUAGCUCAGACCUUCAUUUUUAAACGUUGUUCAAAUGAACCUAUUUGUUUUUGUGAAUAGAAGGCAUUAAUAUUGUUCUACAUAAAAUACAAAUAAAAUAAAAAUAAAGUCAACAGUUAAUCACCUUCGAAAAUAUGACUCGAGGUUUUCUCAAGUGCCACGACAUUCUUUGCCUUUUAAUAAUACAUAUCCGUUAUAUUAGUUGAGUUUAUGAACAAUCAGUAAUUCAUGGUUUGAUCUGAUUCCAAGGGCAAGUUUAUCAAGGUUAUCGCGAUGACUUAUUUUUUGAGUGAAUUAAUAAUUGUAUCUGUUGUAUUAUAUCUGAACGAAAUAGGUAUAUUCAAUGCA
This is a long non-coding RNA of Cotesia glomerata, 2699 nucleotides long. RefSeq lists it as uncharacterized. The transcript has 3 exons. The record is from RefSeq and is a predicted model, not a curated record. NCBI's taxonomy places the organism in Eukaryota, Metazoa, Arthropoda, Insecta, Hymenoptera, Braconidae.